AGAGCGAACGCUGGCGGCAGGCUUAACACAUGCAAGUCGAGCGGGCGUAGCAAUACGUCAGCGGCAGACGGGUGAGUAACGCGUGGGAACAUACCUUUUGGUUCGGAACAACACAGGGAAACUUGUGCUAAUACCGGAUAAGCCCUUACGGGGAAAGAUUUAUCGCCGAAAGAUUGGCCCGCGUCUGAUUAGCUAGUUGGUGAGGUAACGGCUCACCAAGGCGACGAUCAGUAGCUGGUCUGAGAGGAUGAUCAGCCACAUUGGGACUGAGACACGGCCCAAACUCCUACGGGAGGCAGCAGUGGGAAUAUUGUACAAUGGGCGCAAGCCUGAUCCAGCCAUGCCGCGUGAGUGAUGAAGGCCCUAGGGUUGUAAAGCUCUUUUGUGCGGGAAGAUAAUGACGGUACCGCAAGAAUAACGCCCGGCUAACUUCGUGCCAGCAGCCGC
RNAcentral lists this ribosomal RNA (447 nucleotides) under uncultured bacterium. Its description in RNAcentral is "SSU rRNA". It matches the Rfam family "Bacterial small subunit ribosomal RNA", at positions 26 to 518 of the family's 1533-position model. The record is from RNAcentral.